CAGCCUGGCCGGCUCAGUGGGUACAGCAUGGGAUGAUUGAUCUUGGGGUUGUGAGUUCAAGCCCCAGGUCGGGCAUGGAGCCUGCUU
Mustela erminea (ermine) is the source of this 87-nucleotide long non-coding RNA. RefSeq lists it as uncharacterized. The transcript has 3 exons. The record is from RefSeq and is a predicted model, not a curated record. NCBI's taxonomy places the organism in Eukaryota, Metazoa, Chordata, Mammalia, Carnivora, Mustelidae.